This 34-nucleotide transfer RNA is filed under the name Rhacodactylus auriculatus (New Caledonia bumpy gecko). Its description in RNAcentral is "partial tRNA-Tyr". Lineage: Eukaryota; Metazoa; Chordata; Lepidosauria; Squamata; Diplodactylidae. The record is from RNAcentral.
UCCUGCUAACAUGGGUUUAAAUCCUGUUUCUACC